This 81-nucleotide transfer RNA is filed under the name Triticum aestivum (bread wheat). It matches the Rfam family "tRNA". Rfam says of the family: Transfer RNA (tRNA) molecules are approximately 80 nucleotides in length. Their secondary structure includes four short double-helical elements and three loops (D, anti-codon, and T loops). Lineage: Eukaryota; Viridiplantae; Streptophyta; Magnoliopsida; Poales; Poaceae. The record is from Rfam by way of RNAcentral.
GUUGGGAUAGCCUAAUGGUCUAAGGCGGCAUGUUAAGUAUGUGCUCCGAAAGGGGCGUGGGUUCGAAUCCCACUCUCAACA